GGCCUCCCUCUGUGGGGAGAUCGAUCGUGGAGCCCCCACAUUGAUCUCCCUGCAGAGGGUGGCC
Myotis lucifugus (little brown bat) is the source of this 64-nucleotide non-coding RNA. NCBI's taxonomy places the organism in Eukaryota, Metazoa, Chordata, Mammalia, Chiroptera, Vespertilionidae. The record is from Rfam.